GACGAACGCUGGCGGCGUGCUUAACACAUGCAAGUCGAACGGAAAGGCCCUGCUUUUGUGGGGUGCUCGAGUGGCGAACGGGUGAGUAACACGUGAGUAACCUGCCCUUGACUUUGGGAUAACUUCAGGAAACUGGGGCUAAUACCGGAUAGGAGCUCCUGCUGCAUGGUGGGGGUUGGAAAGUUUCGGCGGUUGGGGAUGGACUCGCGGCUUAUCAGCUUGUUGGUGGGGUAGUGGCUUACCAAGGCUUUGACGGGUAGCCGGCCUGAGAGGGUGACCGGCAACAUUGGGACUGAGAUACGGCCCAGACUCAUACGGGAGGCAGCAGUGGAGAAUAUUGCACAAUGAGCGGAAGACUGAUGCAGCAACGCCGCGUGCGGGAUGACGGCCUUCGGGUUGUAAACCGCUUUCGCCUGUGACGAAGCGUGAGUGACGGUAAUGGGUAAAGAAGCACCGGCUAACUACGAG
This 468-nucleotide ribosomal RNA is filed under the name uncultured bacterium. Its description in RNAcentral is "partial 16S ribosomal RNA". It matches the Rfam family "Bacterial small subunit ribosomal RNA", at positions 28 to 507 of the family's 1533-position model. The record is from RNAcentral.